Molecule: ribosomal RNA, 467 nt
Filed under: uncultured bacterium
Lineage: Bacteria
Description: partial 16S ribosomal RNA
Rfam family: Bacterial small subunit ribosomal RNA
Source: RNAcentral
GACGAACGCUGGCGGCGUGCUUAACACAUGCAAGUCGAACGGAAAGGCCCUGCUUUUGUGGGGUGCUCGAGUGGCGAACGGGUGAGUAACACGUGAGUAACCUGCCCUUGACUUUGGGAUAACUUCAGGAAACUGGGGCUAAUACCGGAUAGGAGCUCCUGCUGCAUGGUGGGGGUUGGAAAGUUUCGGCGGUUGGGGAUGGACUCGCGGCUUAUCAGCUUGUUGGUGGGGUAGUGGCUUACCAAGGCUUUGACGGGUAGCCGGCCUGAGAGGGUGACCGGCCACAUUGGGACUGAGAUACGGCCCAGACGCCUACGGGAGGCAGCAGUGGGGAAUAUUGCACAAUGGGCGGAAGCCUGAUGCAGCAACGCCGCGUGCGGGAUGACGGCCUUCGGGUGGUAAACCGCUUUCGCCUGUGACGAAGCGUGAGUGACGGUAAUGGGUAAAGAAGCACCGGCUAACACGUG